RNAcentral lists this ribosomal RNA (497 nucleotides) under uncultured bacterium. RNAcentral's name for it is "partial 16S ribosomal RNA". It matches the Rfam family "Bacterial small subunit ribosomal RNA", at positions 28 to 507 of the family's 1533-position model. The record is from RNAcentral.
GACGAACGCUGGCGGCGUGCCUAAUACAUGCAAGUUGAGCGCUGAAGGUUGGUACUUGUACCAACUGGAUGAGCAGCGAACGGGUGAGUAACGCGUGGGGAAUCUGCCUUUGAGCGGGGGACAACAUUUGGAAACGAAUGCUAAUACCGCAUAAAAACUUUAAACACAAGUUUUAAGUUUGAAAGAUGCAAUUGCAUCACUCAAAGAUGAUCCCGCGUUGUAUUAGCUAGUUGGUGAGGUAAAGGCUCACCAAGGCGAUGAUACAUAGCCGACCUGAGAGGGUGAUUGGCCAAAUUGGGACUGAGACACGGCCCAAACUCCUACGGGAGGCAGCAGUAGGGAAUCUUCGGCAAUGGACGAAAGUCUGACCGAGCAACGCCGCGUGAGUGAAGAAGGUUUUCGGAUCGUAAAACUCUGUUGGUAGAGAAGAACGUUGGUGAGAGUGGAAAGCUCAUCAAGUGACGGUAACUACCCAGAAAGGGACGGCUAACUACGUG